AAGAGCCCUGGUGAGAAGAUAAAACUAUCAGUGGUGAGAAUUCAGAUGCUUGAUGGAUGUGUUAAAUUUUUUAGCUUGAAGACUCUGCGUUCUAAAGGUGAACUGAUUUGUGAUUAUUGAAAUCAAUCCUUACAAAUAUGAGAGGUUUACUAGAGAUCCUAGUUCAUCUGGGAUGUUCCCACUGAAGCUGCACCCUGCCAAGAUCCUGCCAAGUGGUGCAUAAUGUAGAGCAGUUCAGAAGCAUUACAUGAUGAAUACCUGAGAAUCUUUUGAAGCAAAUGGGUGAUUGUCGCGACAAGACUUCUGCCUUACAGGGUGGUAAUCUUCCUCAGGUUCGCAAUAUUUGGAGGGAGUGGACCACCAAGCUCACUAUUAUAGGAUAGAUCCCUGCAAAAGCUAUUUGCAAACUGCUCAAAGAACCAAUACUUGAGUUUGAAAGUGAACUUACAAGGUCUUCAGUUCACCAAGCUGCCCGAUGUCACCACUCAGUGUACCUUUGAUGCCCAUGGUUGACAGUCUCCUGAAAUAUGCAGAAGUCAAGUAGAGAAUUAAGAUAACAAAAACCAAAAAACAAGUUCAAAGAGGGGUUCUUUAGUGCUCAUGUUUGACAGUCUCCUGAAAUCAUGUGGAGAAUUGUGAUAAUUGAAACAAAAGAUUGUUCAGAAGAGAGGCUUACAGGACUGUCACUCUGGAAUUGCUGCAACCUAUUCCUUCCCAUGGUGUUCCACAAGGAUCAUCCGACUUUCCCCAGUUUGGAGGUGUGUUCUGCCACUGACUCAUCAAUGAACGCAGAGCAGCAGCUGAAAGUCGUAGCAGAAUAGCUUCUUAAGUCAAAAGCUCUAUAAGUAUUUGUGACCAAGAACUAUUGGAGCAUGCAAAAUACUACAUGCAAUGGUGAGUUUUUCCGGCUCACUAGAAACGUGAAGUUGGAAUUUUGUUUUUGGUGAGUUGAGAAGAUCCUUUGUUCUUGCAGACAGGUUUGCGAAACAGAAUAGCAAUAACAAAGCUCAGCACUCUCAGGGGAACACUAAAACUACUACAGAUGUUGGCCCAAGAAGAAUGGAUCUCCCUCUUCUCUGCAUUCUGUUUUCCUGAUACUAGAAAGAGGAGAGAUAAACACAAGGAGUACAUACCAUCUUGGGGAUUUGUGCUUCCUGAACUGGAUCCUAAACUGACAAGGAAAACAGAUAGGGUGAAGAUGAGGGUUCCCAUCUCAGUCUGGCCUAGUAUAGAUGAAACUCCACCUCUCGCCAGACACAGUGAUCAGCUCAGCCUGGUAUUAGAAGCCAUAUUUUCUUGAAGUUAGUCUGCACAGGAGCCAACAACUGACUUGCCUGCCAUGAUUCUCCUCAUCAUAAGAUCUUGAAGCUGGCAAAAGAUCCUUUUGCCAAAAGCUGUGCCUUCUCUUCAAAGUCAGUCAACCUUGGAUGACCUCGUGAAACCAUUGAUUCCAGAAUGUCCAUUGCAAGAGGUAAGAUGGCAUUCUUUUGGCUUCAAGUGGUGUUAAUGGAAAGAGUUGUUGUGUGGAUUGUGGACCCUCGCCAUGCCUUCUCUUCUACUCUUCUUAGCACUCAGUAAGCAACUUAUCAUGUGCAAAACACAAUCAUUUGUUGGAUGUAGAGGAGGACGAGCUCAAUUGUCACAGCAUUAUCAGGGUCCUAGUUGGUGUUCUUUUUGACAACCGUAAGGACUCAGUCACUGGCAACCUUGGCGGAUGGUAGAACUCAUAAUUAUCAUUUUGUGCAUUUUGUUCUUUCCAUAUAACUCGUAAUUAUCAUUAGGCAAUCUCAGCUAUGAGGACAUCACACAAUCAGCUGUGAUGAUGAAAGAGGCUACUCUUAGGCAUAAUCUUGGCUCAAAUAUAACCAGGAGACAUAAACUCCCCUGGUCUUCUAAGAGAGGCAACAAGGCUCAAGCUUUGCUUCUACUCAGGCUGACUGAUAGCAGUGGAAGUGACCUGAAGUUGCAGUUGUCACAUAUCCCAAGUCUUGGAUGGGCAAGGAUGCUUCUGCUGUUAGAUUGCAUGAACAGAGACAAAGCCAACCACAGAAGAGGGCGCUUGAGAAAGGAAGGUACAAUUUUGAAAUCUCAAACUCAGACAAAGAAAAAGAGGAUCAAACAAAACACAGUCAUAUGAAAGACCAUUAGUGGAAAGUAAUUAGGAUGUCAAAAACAAGAUAACACUUGUGAUAGUAUAUAUA
Non-coding RNA from Musa acuminata subsp. malaccensis (wild Malaysian banana), 2201 nucleotides. The record is from RefSeq and is a predicted model, not a curated record. Lineage: Eukaryota; Viridiplantae; Streptophyta; Magnoliopsida; Zingiberales; Musaceae.